ACGGAAGGCGCAGUGGGGAAUAUUGCACAAUGGGCGCAAGCCUGAUGCAGCGAUGCCGCGUGAGGGAAGAAGGUUUUCGGAUUGUAAACCUCUGUCAACAGGGACGAAAAUGACGGUACCUGUGAAGGUAGCCCCGGCUAACUACGUGCCAGCAGCCGCGGUAAUACGUAGGGAGCAAGCGUUAUCCGGAAUUACUGGGUGUAAAGGGAGUGAAGGCGGGACUGUAAGUCAGAUGUGAAAUAUGCCGGCUCAACUGGCAGACUGCAUCGGAAACUGCGGUUCUUGAGUGAAGUAGAGGUAAGCGGAAUUCCUAGUGCAGCGGUGAAAUGCGCAGAUAUUAGGAGGGACAUCAGUGGCGAAGGCGGCUUACUGGGCUUUAACUGACGCUGAGGCUCGGAAGCGUGGGGAGCAAACAGGAUUAGAUACCCUGGUA
This 433-nucleotide ribosomal RNA is filed under the name uncultured Ruminococcus sp. RNAcentral's name for it is "partial 16S ribosomal RNA". It matches the Rfam family "Bacterial small subunit ribosomal RNA", at positions 341 to 792 of the family's 1533-position model. The record is from RNAcentral. Lineage: Bacteria; Bacillati; Bacillota; Clostridia; Eubacteriales; Oscillospiraceae.